RNAcentral lists this long non-coding RNA (7958 nucleotides) under Ananas comosus (pineapple). Its description in RNAcentral is "long non-coding RNA (ACOM_LNC004650)". The record is from RNAcentral. Lineage: Eukaryota; Viridiplantae; Streptophyta; Magnoliopsida; Poales; Bromeliaceae.
AAUUUAAAAGUGUUUUUGAUUUUAUAAUUUGGUCUCGGUGUUUUUUUUAAGUAUCUAUCUGAAUUUUAAAAUUUCUAAUUAGACUAUUAAUUCUUCGGGAGUUAUAAUAUUUUAAUAAGAAAAUUAGCAAGUAACAAAUAUCUUAUAUAAAGAUUAUAGAUCUUUUGCAAAAAUAUUACAGACAAACAUAGCUAAAUAAAGAAUAGAAUUAACAUAACAUUUUUGGAGUCCAUACGCUCACAGUCUAAAAAUUUAAAUUUUGAAAAAAUUUACAAAAAAUAAUUAUAAUUUCUAUUCGUUUUAGGAAAAUGUUUUUGAUUCGGCGACUGCAUCUUAUCUUACCGUAUAAAUGAAAUCUCUUUUUGAUCGAGAUCGAGUGCGGUACCUCCUCUUCUUUCCUUUCUAUUGAUUCUCGGUGAAUUAAAAUUCCCGGCCCUUUCGUCCCACCCAAAUCUCCUCCUCGUCCUCCUCUCACCUCGCUCUCAAUGUCGCACCAGGGGGAGGAGAUCUCCUCCUCCUCGACUCCUCCUCCUCCCUCGUCCUCUUCUCCUCCGAGCGAUCCCACCGCCGCCUCCGUUGGGAGCCGAUCGUGCCCUAACCCUACCGAGACGCCGCUCGCGUGGCCCUCCGAUGGCUCCCUCACGCGCGAGUGGAUCGCCGGGCUCACCGCCGCCCUCGACUGGUCGUCGCGCCACCUCCGCCCCCCCGAGCUCCCCUCCGUGCUCCCCCUCCCCCUCCUCCAGCGCCUCGUCCUCGCCGCCUCCAACAUCCUCCACAAGGAGCCCAAUUGCCUCAGGAUCGACAUGGACGGCGACGACGACGCGGAGAUGCGCCGGAGCGGCGCCGCGGUGGUCGUCGUCGGCGACGUGCACGGCCAGUUCCACGACGUGAUCUUCCUGCUGGAGCACGCGGGCUUCCCGUCCGAGAACCGGAUCUUCGUGUUCAACGGCGAUUACGUGGAUCGGGGCGCGUGGGGGCUUGAGACCUUCCUCCUCCUCCUUGCUUGGAAGGUCUGUCCGGCCUCUUCUUCUUCUCUCCUGGGUUAAAGCAAAGAUUGGAGAUUUAAAUUUUUUUUUUCUGUUUUCCUGAAUAUAUAUUGUCGCAUGUUUGUGCUAAAAAAAUUCGCCUUGCCGAUUCUCUGGUGGGAUUCUGAGUACUAGGGAUGUUUGUUUCUAAAGCUUUGAAAGAAGGGAUCUUUAGAAAUUUAGAUGCUCCUUGCAAGAAUAUCUAUACUGCUGUAUGUGUUGUCUUCAUAGUGAGGUGCUUCACUUGGUAAGCAUAAACUACAGAAUCAUCUUUUAUGUUAGUGAGGAAAAGUUGUGCGCAUAUUCUCCUCCACAGACCAACACCUAUUGGAUUGAUUUUAGACAUAAGCGUGCAGUAAGUUUUCCAACAGGGGACGGUGAAAGAGUUUUUUUUUUUUUUUUCCCCCUCUUUUUUUUUCGUGCUCAUAGCAUAUAGAUAAUAGAUAUCAGGGUAUUGAAGUUUACUUGACCCGAACUCCUGUGUUUACGUGAAGAUACCUAAUUGCUUUCCAAAUGCACAAACAACCAAGUGGAACUUAGAAUGGAGCAACCUAAUGCAUUGCAAGAGAUGGCAUUUUCUUAUGCACCUUUUGAAACAGAAAUAACUGAUUUAUCUUCCAGAAGAGGUCACGGUUUUGUAGAAACAUUAAUAUUUUAGUUAAUUGAAACAAAUUCCCGAAAAAUGUAGCAAUAGCAUCAUCUUGUUCCAGUGGUUCUUUUUCUAGCAUAUGCAUCUGUGGACAUUUGAUGGAGACACAUGUUAUUGUUGGUUCUUGUUCCAGUGUUGCCCUGACUGAUUUUCAACUGUUCGCAUGUUUCCUUUUUGACUUGUAGGUCUUUUUGCCGCACCGAGUAUUCCUUCUUCGUGGUAAUCACGAAUCCAAGUACUGCACAUCCGUAUAUGGCUUUGAGAAAGAGGUAAUGGUUAAAUACGGAGAUCAAGGCCCACAAGUUUAUCGAAAGUGUUUAAGAUGUUUUGAAGGUCUCCCCUUGGCAUCCAUUAUAGCAGGUCGUGUUUACACUGCUCAUGGAGGGCUCUUUCGAAGUGUGUCACCUACUCCUUCAUCAAAGAGAUCAAAAGGCAAGAAAGGUCGCAAGGUGAUCACGAAUGUUGAUACAAGUAUUCUUAAACUCGGUUCUUUAGAGGAGUUAUUAAAGGCAAGGCGGACAGUUCUUGACCCACCAUGGGAGGGUUCAAACUUGAUUCCUGGUGAUGUGCUCUGGUCGGACCCUUCACCAAAGCCCGGUCUGUCGCUAAAUGAAGAAAGAGGGAUUGGAUUGUUAUGGGGUCCUGAUUGCACUGAGGAGUUUCUAAAGAAAUACAAUCUUAAGGUUUGUUUUUGUCACAUUUAUUAUCCUUUAUCUUGUUGAGCAAAUUUUUGAUUAUGUGAUUGUGAUUUAAAAAGAAAAAAAGGAAAUCCCUCGUAAUUGCAUAGAGUGAAAAAGAUGCACAUUUAUGAGGUUGUAUUUAGUCAGUAGUCUCACUUAUGUUUCAAGGUUAUUCAGCUUUGGUUGCCCUUCUGAUGCCGGCAAAUUAUUUCUUUUAGCAUUAAAUCUGCUUAAAUUGAUGCUUGUUAGUAUAUGUUACGACUUCUCCAACGGUAUUAAGAAAUUAAACUAUUGGCAAGCCGGUCAUGAUCACAUAAGGAUGACAUUAAAUCUAGCAGAGAUGUACAAUAAUACAGUUAAAAGAUAGGUUUUGUCGAAUGUCUUAUAAAAAACCUAAACAAAAAUACUGCUCGCACUAGAUAAAGCUUGAAAUAGUUCAGUGUUUUGGCCCAUGUCUGUUAAUUUGGAUUCCAAUCCAAUUUUUACGUCCAGCAGGUAGAAUUUUCCCAGUUUAGUGACUCUGUUAAAUUUGAUCGAGGAAAUUUAUCCACUAGUAAUGGGAUUUAUUUGACAAGCUAUCAUAAGGUUUGUAAUCAAAGAAAUUUCUUUUAUAAAUGAGCGAAUUUCCAAUGAUUGUUGCAAUCAAUUACAUUGCAAGCUCCUUGGAGGUUUUUCUAUUCUGUGCCUUUUCUAGUUUGAUUUUAUCAUGUCAAAUCUUUUGUGCAAAUUUGCUGAAAUUUUUUGCUUUUGAAAACAUAGCUGAUUAUCAGGUCACAUGAAGGCCCUGAUGCAAGGGAUAAACGGCAUGAUCUAGCUGGAAUGGACAAUGGCUAUACAAUAGAUCAUCAGGUGGAAUCAGGGAAGCUGAUUACCCUCUUCAGUGCUCCAGAUUAUCCCCAAUUUCAGGUUCUACUCUCAUUUUACGUUUGAUUUUCUUGAAAUCUCGGGCAUGUAGCGGCGGUAAAACUGGAAAAGAUAAAUAGAUUUACACCUUUUCUUUUAGCUACUUGUUUGAAUACUACAUUCUCUUAGCGGUAGGAUUUGUGUGGACCUCAUUUCUUUCUCGGGAAGAUCCAGGAAUAAGUUUUGUGGGAUUUAGCAUACCAAAGGUUAAUAGUUCAAUACCAUAUAAUCUGCCUAAAGUAUAAUAUGUCAUUGUUCAUGUUUCUGGCAGGCAACAGAAGAGCGAUACAACAACCGUGGUGCCUAUAUUGUUUUGCAUUUUCCUGAUUUUACUACUCCUGAAUUCCAUAGUUUUGAAGCUGUAAAACCUAGGCCUAAGGUAUGUCAUAUGUCCUAUAUUUGGACCUUUUAUGUCACAUAAUUUAUCACUAAUAUAUGUUUUCUUCUUCAAAACAUAAUAAUCGCUUAUAUCACGGAAAUGGGGAUGUGGUGUAGGUGGGAGCCUACUACAACUUUGAGGAAGUGAUUGACUCGGAUGAAGAGUUGGAUCUUCAAUCCAUGGAUAAUGGCUCGUCACUCGACGCUGUUGCUUCUACCACAGUAGAUUGAUUAUUUAAAUUAUGUGUUUCUUUGUGUAUCUUAGAAUUUGCUGUUGUAGAUUUAUACAGGCCAAGUCUGUCAUCUUCAAGUGUAGAGAAAGGAUCAAUAUGCAAGUUAUGACCAUUUUUUGCCUGCUCUCUUAGCAAUCUACUGUUCGGGCAUUUGUCUUCUUGUUUUUGUUUUUGUCGCUGUAAUUUUGGAUCCUUCAAUAGAUCAUCAAUACAGCAUCUUUUCAGCUCCAGGUUAUGGAGGAGGUUCAACUAAUAAUAUCCAUUCUCUUUAUAAUUUGUAACGUAAUGCUGUACCUGUUAGUUGCCGCGUUUGUGGAGUGACGCUGGAUCUUGGGACCUAGUGGUUUCCAUGCGUGGAGCUUUCCUAUAGAAAAAUGUCAUUCUUAUCAGAGUUGUCGACGAUUAAAUGUCUAUUGUAAGUUUUAAAAAAAUUUCUGUGAAAAGUGUAGCUCGGAUAAAUUACAACACUGGCCACUGAAAUUAUACUGAGUUGCACCUGGUACACUGAAUUCAAAAUUUUCGUUUCAAACAAAUCUAAAUCUGUCACUUUGUGUUUGAUUAUAUCAGGUCCUAAAAAGGGAGUGCAUCUAGUUUGCUGGAGCAGUGCUCCACAAUCGAAGCGUCACUAAAUUAUCUGGUACAAAAAAAAAAUUGCCCACCGGAUCUCAAUUUUGCACUAUUGUCGUCCACGUCGCCGCAACUGCUGCCGACUUCGAGCGUUUUGUGAACACUCACUCGAUAACUUCGAAAACAAUGCAUAGGGCCAAAAAAAAAAACAGAUAAUAAAUUAUAAUAAUAAAAAUAAAAAUGAAUUAAUUGAGAGACUAAAAUAGGAGACCACCACGACCGCGUACAAGGUCAUCGUUCCUUGUGAUCGCUCCCAAUUAAUUGGGUUUGUUUCCCAUAGGCCAUAGCCAUAGCACGGGAAUGGCGUCGUCUCUCUUCUUCUCCUCCUCCUCCUCCUCGUCUCUCCCUUCCGCCCGAUCCGACCUCCGCGAUCCCUCAGGCGGGGAUCGCCGGGCGCGGGUGUCGCUCCCUCUCCCUCUCCCGCGGCGGGGGCGGGGGCGGGGGCGGGGAUGGAGGUCGGCUGCGGCGGGCGGGGGGGCUGGGAGGAGGUACAAGGGGACGGCGAUGAGGGAGGAGGCGCUGACGGAGAUGAUCGAGCGGAAGGUGGCGGAGGCGAUGGAGGCGUGCGCCGGGGAGGAGGGCCAGGCCUCCGACGGCUGCCGGGUCGCCUGGGACGAGGUCGAGGAGGUCAGCCAGGCCAAGGCCGACCUCCGCCGCCGCCGCGCCGAGACCCAUGCCGACCCCCUCGAGCCCUUCUGCCGCCACAACCCCGACUCCGACGAGUGCCGCGUCUACGACGACUGAGAACAAACGGAGCGGAUCAUCAUCCCAUCGCAAAUCUUCUUCUUCUUCUUCUUCUUCUUCUUCUUCUUUAAAAAAUAAAAAAUAAAAAACACAGAGUGAAGUGUAGUUUCCUCUGGUGUUCUGCUGUACUUUGUGCGUGUUUCUGUAACGUCGUAAUAAGAUAGAUGCUAGUGAAUAUGAAGAAUAUAUAGAUACAGACGGGGUGUUUCGAUUGCGAUCAGCAGCGUACGCGUCUGUGCUUGGCUUCGCAGCUAAAGCAUAUUAAUGGGUUGUUUGGUAUUUUCAAGCAAGCAAGCAAGCUGUGGCACGCCCAGCUAUCUGUUAAUGUAUGUAUUUCUAGAGUGCCUCUUGUUUCCUACUUGUAAGACAAAACCGGAACAUCCUCCCUCCGCCUGUGCGAUCGACCCUGUUACGGCCUCCAGCUUAAGCACGCCCCCUCUAAGGCCUAAGCACAGCUCGAGACGUUGGUUAUUAUUAGCACGCUAUCUCACCAGUACCGUGCUGUUAAUUCCUGAUUGCCUCUGUAUGAAUGAAUAGCUCUUGCCUUCUAGUCAAGAAGCGAACCGGUUAGGAACAUUCUCAUCCUUGCGCGCGGUUCAGCAAUUUAACAAUUCUGAUGAAAAUUGGAAAGUUUUGUUAGCGUCUAACAAGCUUUUCGGUGGCUGGAUUACUCAGUCCUGAAGAGUUUCAAAGAACUUUUAUAUAAUUAACAGUUAACUCCGGUAAGAAUCUUGAGAAGGGUUAACAGAUACUGCAAAUACAGAUUUUAUCGGCACCGCCACAAGUUCAAGACCGCAGAAUAUCUUAAUCUUUUAAAUAGAUGUCGUAACCUAGCAAAAGGGAAUAAUUUAGAAGAUGGUGAUGAGCUUUUGAAGAGAUCAAACAAGUAAGUUGCCUGCUUAAUAUCCGAGUUGGAUGGAGCAGCAUAAAGUGGUUGUCUGAUUAAAUAAUAAUUUGUCCGUAGAGAAGUUUAGAAGAAGCUGAGAGCUGACCGCAGCGAAAAGUGUCUCUUCUGCACAACAAACUCGGGAAGUAAGCUUGAGGAAAUUAAGACCAUUGAAUUUCAUUACCUUUUUUUUUUUUAAAAAAAAAAAAGAAAAAAAGCUGCCAUGCAGUUGCUGUUUUCGGUUCCCAUUAUUACAACAUGCAUGAUCUGUAAAAUAUUGCUAAAAUUAAGGUUAUGACAACAACUUAAUUUAAUCUAGGAAACCACUACAAAUAAGCAGAAUUAAUCUAUGAGAAGUAUACAAUUCUUUCAAAGAAAAUUGAAUCUUUCUUAUAGUGUAUUAACGAAUCACUAAACCAUCAUACUUGACCUAAGCAAAACAAGAAAGUAAAAAAUAGAACAAAUUACAGUGCCGUGGCUGAGAGUGACGAUGCGAUGAUGUCUCUUAUGUUCUUCCUGAAUCUUCCGAUGAACCCUGUUUUUGCAAACAACCGUUGUACUCUAAAAGCUUAAACUAUUAGAGAACGGUAUUUAAAUAUUUUUAUAUUUAACAGACAAUGCCUUUAUUACUGAGAUCAGUGCACAUGAAAUCAAUCAGGAGCCUGAUGAUGUUCCGGCAGCAACAACUUCGAAGAAGCCCUCAAGGCCUUCGCUGGCAAUGAAGCAGAUUGAUAAAGUACAACCUAUUCCGGGGACCCUGCGUAACAGCGGUAAGAGGAAGAUGCGUUGGUGUAGAUUUAGGUUCCUUCAUUUACCAUAUUGUUAUUUGCAUGGUUUUGGGCUGGCAAUUACAUCUCAGUUUCUACUUAAAUUCAUGCAGAGUAUCAAAGUUGGUCAUGCUUGUCCGAGAGUCUAUAGAGGGUGGGGUGUUUUAGAAUUUGGAAUUUGUAAAUGGAAAAGAUGAUUAUAUUAGGUUCUCUUUGUUUGGAAUGUCGGUGGAUUUUUUUACAUUAUGCCAUUUGUAUUUGCAAUUGGUAUGCGGACUUUGUAAAUAGUCUUACAGUAAGUUAAUUGAUAUGUUGGUGAAAAUCCAUGACCCGAGCAAUUGUUCACUUCGUCUGCACAUCGAUUCUUUUCUUCUUGAUCGACUUUUCUGAGUAAUUUGAGAUGUGGUACAACUUUUGAUCUUCUACUAGCUCUGCCUGGCUCAUACUGUAGUUAAGCCAAGUAUGCAUGCAGGCUACAGCUCAUAAACUCAUACCUCGUGGGUCAAUGACUUGAUUAGCAGUUUUAUACAACCUAGUUCCUUGCCGUGGUUUAUGAUCAAAUUUUCAACUCCGACCUGUUGCCGAGUAUCUGGCAAAUUCAAAGGCGUUUGCUUUUUCUAUGUUACUUGCUUUGUUUAUUUCUUAAGCACCUGUUUGGUUCGGAGUUAAGGGAUAGAAUAACCUCUUAAUCCCAAAGUAGUUUUCAAACACCGAAUUUGGAGGGUGGGAUUAGCUAACCCCCAUCCCACGAUUCCCACCCCACUAUUCCAACCAAACAAUACACUAUUUUACCCACUGUCCUUCUUAUCCCAUCUACUCCAACCAAACACUAUUUUAUCUAUAACUGGACUAAACCCAAUUCUCAACCAAACAUAAAAUUACUCAAACCCCAUCUUAACUCUGAACUUAACUCUAUCCCUGAAAUAACAAGUUUUUACUUAACCUCGAACCAAACGGUGGCUAAAAAAACAAACUUAGCCAGAAAUAUGAAUUAAUUAUGAUUCGAAUUUAGGACCUCGGAUACCGACCAUCAAGCCUCUUUUCUUUUUCUUUUUUUUUUUUUUUC